ACCACCGACACACAAACAUAAUCAGUUAAUCACACACAGUCACUCUCACUGUCUCAGUCUCAAAUCAACGUAAGCCUUGUCUGCUUUGUAAGAUUGAGCCCUCAAAUUUGCGUAUUUGACCAGUGAAAAUAAUUGAUCCCCACUUGGUUUCAUCGUUUUUUGACGAUUAUAAGAGGGGGUGUAUUUGCAUGCUACAACAGAGUUAGAAAAUAGACAUGCCUGGGUUGCUGAGUGUUCUUUGAAUAUCCAAGUAACAACGGGAGUUGAGUGAAACAUUUGUUUAAUUAGUAGGGCAUCUUCAGACCAACACUUGUCAUUCCCUACUGGAUCACAUGUGCAAUAUACAUUUCCUGAGCUUUUCUUCUACAAUCCUGACUUAGGGUGGCUGAACGGUAUGGGAAAACAGUCCUUGUACAAUGUUCGUGUUAUUGUUGCUGUAAAGGGAUAUGGAGAAUUUGAUGCUUGGAGCCAUCUAUUUGGCUUCCGAAAAAUUGAGAGCUAUAUUGAUAGGGCCAUAGGUGGAAGGUAUUGCUUUAUAUGCCUUCUAGAACAUUUUACUUAGGUUUUUGUUUUGAUAUUAUGAUAUGUAGUCUAUAAAUUUUUUAUUUAAAGGUUGUUCAAGGUCAACGGACAACCUUUCAUUAUCUGUGGUGGUAAUUGGAUAUUGUCAAAUGGGUUACUAUGUCUUUCAAGGGAAUGUUACAAAACAGACAUCAAGUUUCAUGACGAUAUGCAUUUUAAUAUGACUCACAGUUGGGGUGGUGGAUUGGUUGAGAGGACAGAAUUCUAUCAUUAUUGUGAUAUUUAUGGACUUUUUUGGUGAUAUCUCUCUGUCUCUCUCUCUCCCCCCUAUGUGUGUGUGUGAUCAAUUAUAGAGGGUGUAUAGAAAUAGAAAUAUAGAACAAACAACCACACAGAGAACAUAGAGAUAGAGACUUACAAGGUUCAGAUUUAGUCAUAUGUCCAAAGGCAGACAUUGAGAAGAAAAAUUUACUCGCAAACGUGACUACAAUAGUUGCACAAAACUAAACCCCAUAUACACCCAAUGAGCUCUUUCUUACUAAUAACAAAGAUUAUGGCUACAAAGUUUGUUUGGUGACUUUUUGUGGAGAUUAACCAACCAAUAGGACUAGGCAGUACUAUUUGCUUUCUCGUACACAACAAGAAGAUGAAAAACAAACCAUACCAAAGUCAGCAACUGUUCAUAGUGCACAUGUAAGGGUUGAGUUCCACAUUGAGAGAAAAAGUAAGGCAAGUGAGAAGUUGAUGGACAUAGUUGGGUCUAAACCAUUUGGCUUAAGCUGUUUGAGUGGUACCCCAAUAUAUAUCAGUUGGUACAUCAAUAUGUAUCUAUAGGCUCUUGUUGGACCCUAGGGACACUUUUGAACCCAAAAAAUUGGUGUUAGAGUUAUGGUUCAACUUUAAUUUGGUUCGAAAUUUUCUAUCAAAAAUUUUUUUUUUUUUUUUGAAUGAGUAUCUUGGUGUUGAUGUGGUUGGUGUGAAUUUGGUUAUUGCUGCAUUUAAUGCAACUCUUGUAUGCACAAUCUGGAUUUGCUAAUGACUCACACACAGUGGGAAGCUAGGUUGAUGUGGUAGAGGCUUAUAUGGGAGGGAGAGGUCUAUUGUGAGUGCAUGUGUGAGGGUUGAGUCCCAUAUAGAGAAAAAGUAAAGAAAAUGAAGAGUUGAUAUAUAUAGUUGGGUGCAAACCUAUUGGAUGAAGCUUUUGAGAUAGAAUGAUGUCCCUAUAUGUAUAUCAAUGGGAGGUUGGUGGGUUAGUAAAAUUGGGACAAAUCCUGGAACAUCAAAGAUUUUAGAUUCACCAAAAUUUGUAUGCUUUAUAGUAAGGGUAUUGUCACGGGAUGAUUGCAGCGUAAGAUGCUGGGAAUGCCAAGAAAGUGUUGUAGAGUAAGUUUUAUAAUUGAAAAAAGCUUGUUAAAUUACAAAUUCUCCCAAAAGCUUAAACUAUUAGGAUAUGGGAAAUUUAAUCACUUAAUCACAUACUUCUAACACACUCAUGUGUGGGCUCAAACUCCCUUUUAUAAGUUGAGGCCCAACAAAUGAGAUUUUAAAUGGAAGGUUGAGUGGAGGAGCAGGGAUCAAACUCAAAACCUUCUGCUCUGAUACCAAGUUAAAUUAUUGAUUCUCCCAAAAGCUAAAGUUAUUGGGAUAUGGUAAAUUUAAUCAUUUAACCACAUACUUCCAACAAAGCUAACAACUAUAAUCUGCAGUACUUUCCCAUUAAUGAUGGUGUUCUUGUAACCAUAUAAAUUGAUGAUAUGUUAAUCACUGAAAUUAGUCCCAUUAUGAAAGUUACCAUAAAUUGUGGCAUUGUUGAUUUUAUAAUGCUUUUGAAACUUAUUAGGGUAUUUAUAUUCUUUGACCUAAAUUGUCCAUAGAUCUUUUACCUUCAACUGUAGAGUACUAACAUAGUGGCAAUAGUGUGUCACAAGAAAAAUUUAUUUCCUUUCUUUUAAUUGUCAAAAUUUGAUUUUAAAACAAGCAUAACUGAUAUUACAAGAACAAGUUAAUACAUGAGCAAGCCUAUGCUUGUGAGAAAAUUCUUUAUUUUCUUCGGUACAACUCAGCACUUCUUGAUUUCUAAUUUCUCAGGUCAGCUGCAUGGAUUAUUACUACCAUCAUUAUCAUUUGACCUUGAUCUCUAUUUCAGGCUAUACACUCUAGUUAGAAUUUUUCUUUUACUUUUCUGACUGCCUCUGCCUUAGACCUAAUAUAUUUCUAGCCCCCUCUUGUUCUCAAAUGCUUUGAAAUAUAAAUAAAGAAGUCCUUACUAUUCAGCUAAGUGGUUUUUUUUUUACAUAAUUAAAAAUUGACUUAAUCAAAUUGUCUAUAUCUUCUCCUCAAAGCUACGUCUAGAUUUUAGUGAAUACAUUUAUUUUGUAUUCUAUCUUUUAUUGCCAUUAUUAAUGAUUUUACUUAAUUACUUAGGAUAAUGGCUUUGUUGAGUUCAGUUUUAUUUUUUAAUUGCCAUUAACCUAUUUCAGCAUCACUUUUUUCAAAAAGUUAUUUGACAUUGUUUGCUAUUUGGUAUAUUGCAGUAGGAGCAUUUGGUUCUUUAAAUUUUGGUACACUUGGUUAUUUAGUAACUGAAGUUUUAAAAUGUUCCUACCAGAGUGAAUUCUGCAUUGCAUUAUUUUGAACGAUUUGUUCUCCAAAGACCCAAGCCUGUCUACGGGGUCAAAUAUGGUUCAAGGCUAACCAAACCUAAGGAUUCCAAUAUUUUUAAGUUAUUUCAGUAUUAAGUUACUCUAGUAUAACU
This is a long non-coding RNA of Quercus lobata, 3277 nucleotides long. RefSeq lists it as uncharacterized. The record is from RefSeq and is a predicted model, not a curated record. The transcript has 3 exons. Lineage: Eukaryota; Viridiplantae; Streptophyta; Magnoliopsida; Fagales; Fagaceae.